This 255-nucleotide ribosomal RNA is filed under the name Clostridioides difficile. RNAcentral describes it as "partial 23S ribosomal RNA". It matches the Rfam family "Bacterial large subunit ribosomal RNA", at positions 1800 to 2054 of the family's 2925-position model. The record is from RNAcentral. Lineage: Bacteria; Bacillati; Bacillota; Clostridia; Peptostreptococcales; Peptostreptococcaceae.
CUGUUUACCAAAAACAUAGGUUUCUGCUAAGUCGCAAGACGAUGUAUAGGAGCUGACGCCUGCCCGGUGCUGGAAGGUUAAGGGGAUCUGUUAGAGCAAUCGAAGCAGUGAACUUAAGCCCCAGUAAACGGCGGCCGUAACUAUAACGGUCCUAAGGUAGCGAAAUUCCUUGUCGGGUAAGUGCCGACCCGCACGAAAGGCGUAACGAUUUGGGCACUGUCUCAACAACAGACUCGGUGAAAUUGUAAUUCCGGU